Molecule: ribosomal RNA, 441 nt
Filed under: uncultured bacterium
Lineage: Bacteria
Description: partial 16S ribosomal RNA
Rfam family: Bacterial small subunit ribosomal RNA
Source: RNAcentral
CCUACGAGUGGCAGCAGUGGGGGAUAUUGCACAAUGGGGGGAACCCUGAUGCAGCGACGCCGCGUGGGUGAAGGAGUGCUUCGGCAUGUAAAGCCCUAUCGGCAGGGAAGAAGCAAGACGGUACCUGACUAAUAAGCUCCGGCUAACUACGUGCCAGCAGCCGCGGUAAUACGUAGGGGGCAAGCGUUAUCCGGAUUCACUGGGUGUAAAGGGUGCGUAGACGGCCAUGCAAGCCAGGUGUGAAAGCCCGGGGCUUAACCGCGGAACUGCACUUGGAACUGAUGUUCUAGAGUGCGGGAGGGGCAGGCGGAAUUCCUGGUGGAGCGGUGAAAUGCGUAGAUAGGAGGAGGAACACCAGCGGCGAAGGCGACUUGCUGGACCGCGACUGACGUUGAGGCUCGAAAGCGUGGGGAGCGAACAGGAUUAGAUACCCUGGUAGUC